Molecule: small nucleolar RNA, 230 nt
Organism: Zophobas morio
Lineage: Eukaryota; Metazoa; Arthropoda; Insecta; Coleoptera; Tenebrionidae
Product: small nucleolar RNA U3
Exons: 1
Source: RefSeq, a predicted model, not a curated record
AGGACUAUACUCUUUAGGAUCAUUUCUAUAGUUCAUGUCCUCGUCUUGCUCUCCAAGCGAGACAAACUCCUUAACCCUGCUGAGGAGCAGUGGUGCGGAUCCCUCAAGUGGGAAGCGCGGUCGAGGUUGCGGGUUUUCCCCGUGACCUUCGAACCGAUUGAUGACUGCCGCGGCCCCCGUCUUUUUAAAGGGUUUGGGGCUUGCGGGGGGCUCCGCGCGUUCUGAAGGGU